Molecule: ribosomal RNA, 497 nt
Filed under: uncultured bacterium
Lineage: Bacteria
Description: partial 16S ribosomal RNA
Rfam family: Bacterial small subunit ribosomal RNA
Source: RNAcentral
GAUGAACGCUGGCGGCGUGCCUAAUACAUGCAAGUCGAGCGAACGGACGAGAAGCUUGCUUCUCUGAUGUUAGCGGCGGACGGGUGAGUAACACGUGGAUAACCUACCUAUAAGACUGGGAUAACUUCGGGAAACCGUAGCUAACACCGGAUAAUAUUUUGAACCGCAUGGUUCAAAAGUGAAAGACGGUCUUGCUGUCACUUAUAGAUGGAUCCGCGCUGCAUUAGCUAGUUGGUAAGGUAACGGCUUACCAAGGCAACGAUGCGUAGCCGACCUGAGAGGAUGAUCAGCCACACUGGAACUGAGACACGGUCCAGACUCCUACGGGAGGCAGCAGUAGGGAAUCUUGCGCAAUGGGCGAAAGCCUGACGGAGCAACGCCGCGUGAGUGAUGAAGGUCUUCGGAUCGUAAAACUCUGUUAUUAGGGAAGAACAUAUGUGUAAGUAACUGUGCACAUCUUGACGGUACCUAAUCAGAAAGCCACGGCUAACUACGUG